GACUCCUACGGGAGGCAGCAGUAUGGAAUCUUCGGCAAUGGACGAAAGUCUGACCGAGCAACGCCGCGUGAGUGAAGAAGGUUUUCGGAUCGUAAAACUCUGUUGUUAGAGAAGAACAAGGACGUUAGUAACUGAACGUCCCCUGACGGUAUCUAACCAGAAAGCCACGGCUAACUACGUGCCAGCAACCGCGGUAAUACGUAGGUGGCAAGCGUUGUCCGGAUUUAUUGGGCGUAAAGCGAGCGCAGGCGGUUUCUUAAGUCUGAUGUGAAAGCCCCCGGCUCAACCGGGGAGGGUCAUUGGAAACUGGGAGACUUGAGUGCACAAGAGGAGAGUGGAAUUCCAUGUGUAGCGGUGAAUGCGUAGAUAUAUGGAGGAACCCAGUGGCGAAGCGGCUCUCUGGUCUGAACUGACGCUGAGGCUCGAAGCGUGGGAGCAACAGGAUUAGAUACCUGGUAGUCCACGCCGUAACGAUGAGUGCUAGUGUUGGAGGGUUCCGCCUUCAUGCUGCAGCAAAGCAUUAAUCCUCCGCCGGGGGAGUAGACCGCAGGUUGAACUCAAGGAUUGACGGGGCCACACAACGGGGAGCUGUGGUUAAUUCAAUGACGCGAUAACCUUACAGGUCUGGAAUCCUUGACACUCUAGAAUUG
This 650-nucleotide ribosomal RNA is filed under the name Enterococcus faecalis. RNAcentral describes it as "bacterial SSU rRNA". It matches the Rfam family "Bacterial small subunit ribosomal RNA", at positions 334 to 1008 of the family's 1533-position model. The record is from RNAcentral. Lineage: Bacteria; Bacillati; Bacillota; Bacilli; Lactobacillales; Enterococcaceae.